CCAGACUCCUACGGGAGGCAGCAGUGGGGAAUAUUGCACAAUGGGGGAAACCCUGAUGCAGCAACGCCGCGUGAGUGAAGAAGGUUUUCGGAUUGUAAAGCUCUGUUAGCAGGGAAGAGGAAGGACGGUACCUGCAGAGGAAGCCACGGCUAACUACGUGCCAGCAGCCGCGGUAAUACGUAGGGGGCAAGCGUUAUCCGGAUUUACUGGGUGUAAAGGGAGCGUAGACGGCGAUACAAGUCUGAAGUGAAAGCCCGGGGCUCAACCCCGGGACUGCUUUGGAAACUGUGUUGCUGAAGUGCUGGAGAGGCAAGCGGAAUUCCUAGUGUAGCGGUGAAAUGCGUAGAUAUUAGGAAGAACACCAGUGGCGAAGGCGGCUUGCUGGACAGUAACUGACGUUGAGGCUCGAAAGCGUGGGGAGCAAACAGGAUUAGAUACCCGAGUA
Molecule: ribosomal RNA, 445 nt
Filed under: uncultured bacterium
Lineage: Bacteria
Description: bacterial SSU rRNA
Rfam family: Bacterial small subunit ribosomal RNA
Source: RNAcentral